AACGUAGGAGACGAACGUUAUCCGGAGUUACUGGGCGUAAAGGGCGUGCAGGCGGUCUGAUAAGUUCGGCGUGAAAUAUUCCGGCUUAACCGGGAUAGGUCGUCGGAGACUGUCGGACUAGAGGGUGAUAGAGGCGUGUGGAAUUCCGGGUGUAGUGGUGAAAUGCGUAGAUAUCGAGAGGAACACCAGUGGCGAAGGCGAGUCUCUGGACGACUCCUGACACUGAGGCACGAAAGCCAGGGGAGCAAACAGG
RNAcentral lists this ribosomal RNA (253 nucleotides) under uncultured bacterium. RNAcentral describes it as "partial 16S ribosomal RNA". It matches the Rfam family "Bacterial small subunit ribosomal RNA", at positions 524 to 776 of the family's 1533-position model. The record is from RNAcentral.